UCAAGUAGAAUAAGGAACAUGGAAACUUCACAGAACUGGACAAACACAGUUUGUAAAGGCCACACAUGUCCUCUGGUUUGGGGUGAAGAAUGGUGCCCAGUGAAAAAUGACGUGACCCCCUUGAGAUCAAUGACUACAAGAGCACAUGGAUAAUUCACCUGGUGUUUUUAACAAGUCAACAGUAUAUAAAGAAAAGUGCAGAUGAAUCAUGCAGAAGCAGAGCGAGCCCUUGAAUAUAUUUGGUGUAUGGGUUAGCUUACUUAA
Non-coding RNA from Microcebus murinus (gray mouse lemur), 264 nucleotides. Lineage: Eukaryota; Metazoa; Chordata; Mammalia; Primates; Cheirogaleidae. The record is from RefSeq and is a predicted model, not a curated record.